CCUACGGGUGGCAGCAGUGGGGAAUAUUGCACAAUGGGGGAAACCCUGAUGCAGCGACGCCGCGUGAGUGAGGAAGUAUUUCGGUAUGUAAAGCUCUAUCUGCAGGGAAGUAAAUUACGGUACCUGACUAAGAAGCCCUGUCUAACUACGUGCCAGCAGCCGCGGCAAUACGUAGGGGGCCAGCGUUAUCCGGAUUUACUGGGUGUAAAGGGAGCGUAGACGGGUAAUCAAGUCAGAAGUGAAAACCCAGGGCUCAACUUUGGGACUGCAUUUGAUACUGAGUAGCUAGAGUGCAGGAGAGGUAAGCGGAAGUCCUAGUGUAGCGGUGAAAUGCGUAGAUAUUAGGAGGAACGCCAGUGGCGAAGGCAGCUUACUGGACUGUAACUGACGUUGAGGCUCGAAAGCGUGGGGAGCAAACAGGAUUAGAUACCCCUGUAGUC
Molecule: ribosomal RNA, 440 nt
Filed under: uncultured bacterium
Lineage: Bacteria
Description: partial 16S ribosomal RNA
Rfam family: Bacterial small subunit ribosomal RNA
Source: RNAcentral